ACUUCUCAACCCCAGUUGGAUUUGCAAUUCGACUGGUGGCUGGACUUGGGGGCUUGCUGGCCGUUUCAAUUCGGUCUGCUCCCCUUGAAUGUAUUAGCUUGGACUUCUUCCUACGGCUGCAUAGCGUGAUAAUUAUCUACGCCUUGUCUGUCUGUGGAAUACUACUGGGUCUAGCUUCUAACUGUCCUCUGGACAAUCACUUCAAU
Molecule: unclassified non-coding RNA, 206 nt
Filed under: uncultured Peniophorella
Lineage: Eukaryota; Fungi; Basidiomycota; Agaricomycetes; Corticiales; Corticiaceae
Description: sequence contains ITS2
Source: RNAcentral